GCCAGGUACAGUGGUGCAUGCCUGUAAUCCCAGUGGCUUGGGAGGCUGAGGCAGGAAGAUCAAAAGUUCCAGCCUCAG
RNAcentral lists this small RNA (78 nucleotides) under Marmota monax (woodchuck). The record is from RNAcentral. Lineage: Eukaryota; Metazoa; Chordata; Mammalia; Rodentia; Sciuridae.